This 460-nucleotide ribosomal RNA is filed under the name uncultured Planctomycetota bacterium. RNAcentral describes it as "bacterial SSU rRNA". It matches the Rfam family "Bacterial small subunit ribosomal RNA", at positions 379 to 829 of the family's 1533-position model. The record is from RNAcentral. Lineage: Bacteria; Pseudomonadati; Planctomycetota.
AAGGGUGACGAAGCGACGCCGCGUGCGGGAAGAAGGCCUUCGGGUUGUAAACCGCUGUCGGGAGUUAGGAAAUGCAAGGAUGUUAAUAGCAUUCUUGCUUGACUAAGGCUCCGGAGGAAGCCACGGCUAACUCUGUGCCAGCAGCCGCGGUAAUACAGAGGCGGCAAGCGUUGUUCGGAAUUAUUGGGCGUAAAGAGCACGUAGGCGGCUGUGUAAGUCGGUUGUGAAAGCCUUCCGCUUAACGGAAGAACGGCAUCCGAUACUGCAUAGCUUAAGUGCGGGAGGGGAGAGUGGAACUUCUGGUGGAGCGGUGAAAUGCGUAGAUAUCAGAAGGAACACCGGCGGCGAAGGCGACUCUCUGGUCCGUAACUGACGCUGAGUGUGCGAAAGCUAGGGGAGCAAACGGGAUUAGAUACCCCGGUAGUCCUAGCCGUAAACGAUGGGCACUAAGUAGAGGGGU